This 433-nucleotide ribosomal RNA is filed under the name uncultured bacterium. RNAcentral's name for it is "partial 16S ribosomal RNA". It matches the Rfam family "Bacterial small subunit ribosomal RNA", at positions 28 to 507 of the family's 1533-position model. The record is from RNAcentral.
GACGAACGCUGGCGGCAUGCCUAACACAUGCAAGUCGAACGAGACCUUCGGGUCUAGUGGCGCACGGGUGCGUAACGCGUGGGAACCUGCCCUUAGGUUCGGAAUAACUCCCCGAAAGGGGUGCUAAUACCGGAUAAUGUCUUCGGACCAAAGAUUUAUCGCCUUUGGAUGGGCCCGCGUUGGAUUAGCUAGUUGGUAGGGUAAAAGCCUAACAAGGCGACGAUCCAUAGCUGGUCUGAGAGGAUGAUCAGCCACACUGGGACUGAGACACGGCCCAGACUCCUACGGGAGGCAGCAGUGGGGAAUAUUGGACAAUGGGCGAAAGCCUGAUCCAGCAAUGCCGCGUGAGUGAUGAAGGCCUUAGGGUUGUAAAGCUCUUUUACCCGGGAUGAUAAUGACAGUACCGGGAGAAUAAGCUCCGGCUAACUCCGUG